CGGCCCUUCUGCCCCUUCGCCCAUCUCUUGGCACAGAGGAGGCUCCGAAACCUCCUUCCACCGGGGAGCAACCAGGAGAGCCGCGCUGCAGCGCUGCGGGUGCUCACACCUCUGCAUGGACACCCUCUGCUGUCACUUCCUUCGUCUCUUAGCAACGUUCGUGCGGCGCCGGGGUCACCACACCCCGACCACAUCGCACACAGCACAGCCAACUUCCAGAGCAAACAACAUCAGCUCAGCCCUUCUGGCAUCUCGUCUGCACGGCUCCAACGGGAGCGGUUCGGGUGGAAAUUCCCUGGCCUGGGCUCCCAUGGCCACUCUGCAUGGC
This 328-nucleotide long non-coding RNA is filed under the name Gallus gallus (chicken). The record is from RNAcentral. Lineage: Eukaryota; Metazoa; Chordata; Aves; Galliformes; Phasianidae.